AGAAUCCUUUAUCCAGCAAGGCUGUCAUUCAGAAUAGAAGGAGAGAUAAAGAGUUUCCCAAACAAAAACGAAAGGAGCUUGUGACCACUAAGCCAACCUAGCAAGAAAUUUUAAUGGGGACUCUGAAUGGAG
Leopardus geoffroyi (Geoffroy's cat) is the source of this 132-nucleotide long non-coding RNA. RefSeq lists it as uncharacterized. The transcript is spliced from 2 exons. The record is from RefSeq and is a predicted model, not a curated record. Lineage: Eukaryota; Metazoa; Chordata; Mammalia; Carnivora; Felidae.